AAAAACCCUAAAAAAAACCCCAAAAAAUGCUUCUACAACCCACCACCACCGUUAAACCUCCACAUCAAAAAACUGAAAAGUAUGUCUCUUUUUCUUCGUCCCUAUCUUAUUCACUGUCUUUUCCAUCUGGGUUUUGCAAUUUGGGUGGUUUUACUAAACCCUUGAUGUGUUCAAAGAAUCAUCAUUCAGUUAUUAGCUGUUCAUCAACAUCACAGGUGCAUAGCUAUGGGACUGUUGACUAUGAGAGGCG
Molecule: unclassified non-coding RNA, 250 nt
Filed under: Hevea brasiliensis (rubber tree)
Lineage: Eukaryota; Viridiplantae; Streptophyta; Magnoliopsida; Malpighiales; Euphorbiaceae
Source: RNAcentral